Molecule: transfer RNA, 75 nt
Filed under: Kamptonema sp. PCC 6506
Lineage: Bacteria; Bacillati; Cyanobacteriota; Cyanophyceae; Oscillatoriales; Microcoleaceae
Also listed under: 1 other name
Description: tRNA-Val
Rfam family: tRNA
About the family: Transfer RNA (tRNA) molecules are approximately 80 nucleotides in length. Their secondary structure includes four short double-helical elements and three loops (D, anti-codon, and T loops).
Source: RNAcentral
AGUCCUGUAGCUCAACGGUGGAGCAGUUGUCUUACAAACAACGGGUUACGGGUUCAAAUCCUGUCAGGACUACCA